GACGAACGCUGGCGGCGUGCCUAAUACAUGCAAGUUGAGCGCUUAAGGUUGGUACUUGUACCGACUGGAUGAGCAGCGAACGGGUGAGUAACGCGUGGGGAAUCUGCCUUUGAGCGGGGGACAACAUUUGGAAACGAAUGCUAAUACCGCAUAAAAACUUUAAACACAAGUUUUAAGUUUGAAAGAUGCAAUUGCAUCACUCAAAGAUGAUCCCGCGUUGUAUUAGCUAGUUGGUGAGGUAAAGGCUCACCAAGGCGAUGAUACAUAGCCGACCUGAGAGGGUGAUCCGCCACAUUGGGACUGAGACACGGCCCAAACUCCUACGGGAGGCAGCAGGAGGGAAUCUUCGGCAAUGGAGGAAAGGCUGACCGAGCAACGCCGCGUGAGUGGAGAAGGGUUUCGGAUCGUAAAACUAUGUUGGUAGAGAAGAACGGUGGUGAGAGUGGAAAGCUCAUCAAGUGACGGUAACUACCCAGAAAGGGACGGCUAACUACGUG
RNAcentral lists this ribosomal RNA (497 nucleotides) under uncultured bacterium. RNAcentral's name for it is "partial 16S ribosomal RNA". It matches the Rfam family "Bacterial small subunit ribosomal RNA", at positions 28 to 507 of the family's 1533-position model. The record is from RNAcentral.